GCCAAAUACCCUUGAUGGGCUUGAUUAAA
Molecule: non-coding RNA, 29 nt
Filed under: Mus musculus (house mouse)
Lineage: Eukaryota; Metazoa; Chordata; Mammalia; Rodentia; Muridae
Source: RNAcentral